GAUGAACGCUGGCGGCGUGCCUAAUACAUGCAAGUAGAACGCUGAAGGAAGGAGCUUGCUCUUUCCGGAUGAGUUGCGAACGGGUGAGUAACGCGUAGGUAACCUGCCUGGUAGCGGGUGAUAACUAUUGGAAACGAUAGCUAAUACCUCAUAACAGUAGAUGUUGCAUGAUAUCUACUUAAAAGGUGCAAUUGCACCACUACCAGAUGGACCUGCGUUGUAUUAGCUAGUUGGUGAGGUAACGGCUCACCAAGGCGACGAUACAUAGCCGACCUGAGAGGGUGAUCGGCCAAACUGGGAAUGAGACACGGCCCAGAAUCCUACGGGAGGCAGCAGGAGGGAAGCUUAGGCAAUGGACGGAAGGCUGAACGAGCAACGCCGCGGGAGGGAAGAAGGUUUUCGGAUCGUAAAGCUCGGUUGUAAGAGAAGAACGAGUGUGAGAGUGGAAAGUUCACACUGUGACGGUAUCUUAACAGAAAGGGACGGCUAACUACGUG
RNAcentral lists this ribosomal RNA (497 nucleotides) under uncultured bacterium. RNAcentral describes it as "partial 16S ribosomal RNA". It matches the Rfam family "Bacterial small subunit ribosomal RNA", at positions 28 to 507 of the family's 1533-position model. The record is from RNAcentral.